Long non-coding RNA from Sphaeramia orbicularis (orbiculate cardinalfish), 403 nucleotides. RefSeq lists it as uncharacterized. Lineage: Eukaryota; Metazoa; Chordata; Actinopteri; Kurtiformes; Apogonidae. The record is from RefSeq and is a predicted model, not a curated record. The transcript is spliced from 3 exons.
GGGACAGGACAGAGGGGGCGGGGCCAGAGGGGUAGAGAGAGCAGAACCUGUUUGAGUGGAUGACGCUCGCCCACUUGAAGAACAGAAGAGAACAAACACAGAACAGGAUGAGUGGACAGAACUUUAAGAGCAGGAGACUGACGGUCACAUCUGACCUCUGACCUUCAGAGUGACCUGCCAAACUGUCUGAGGGGCGGAGGCCGAGGAGCCCAGGGUCGUCACCAUGGCGACAACCUCAUCCCUGCUCAGCAGAGGUCUGGGUCUGGUCCUGGUGGAGUUUGAGUACGAGUACCAGGGUCGGGACGGGGUUCUGGUCUCCAUCAAACCCAACGAGCGCUACGUCCUGCUGGCCAAGACCAACGACCACUGGUGGCAGGUCCGCAACGACCGCGGCUCCAAACCC